AACGCUGGCGGCAGGCCUAACACAUGCAAGUCGAACGGUAACAUUUCUAGCUUGCUAGAAGAUGACGAGUGGCGGACGGGUGAGUAAUACUUAGGAAUAUGCCUUUGUGUGGGGGAUAACUAUUGGAAACGAUAGCUAAUACCGCAUAACGUCUUCGGACCAAAGGGGGCUUCGGCUCCCGCGCAAAGAGUANCCUAAGCGAGAUUANCUUGUUGGUGAGGUANAGGCUCACCANGGCGACGAUCUCUANCUGUUCUGAGAGGAAGAUCAGCCACACUGGAACUGAGAC
This 289-nucleotide ribosomal RNA is filed under the name Glaciecola sp. FRA000015. Its description in RNAcentral is "partial 16S rRNA". It matches the Rfam family "Bacterial small subunit ribosomal RNA", at positions 32 to 325 of the family's 1533-position model. Lineage: Bacteria; Pseudomonadati; Pseudomonadota; Gammaproteobacteria; Alteromonadales; Alteromonadaceae. The record is from RNAcentral.